UUAAAUUGCUGUGGUAUUUUGACUAUAGAUAUUUAUUGAAUAGAUUUUAUUGAAUGCUAAGAGAAUGGACUCUCAGAGAAAAACUUUUUUUAAAUUAAAAAUUGAAAUUUUUUUAAUUUGUGCAGAAACAAUUAUUAAUAUUAAGGACAAGAAGACCCUAUGAAUUUAUUAAAUUUCAUUCAAUAUGUAAUUACUAUUGAAGAAAUUUUGGCUGGGGCGGCUAAAAAAUAUUUUAAACUUUUUAAAAAUAAAAUGAUCCAUUAUUAAUGAUUAUAUGUUAAAUACUCUAGGGAUAACAGCGUUAUAUUUUUUGAUAGACCAUAUUGACAAAAAAGUUUGCGACCUCGAUGUUGGAUUAGGAUACUUUUUUAAUGCAGAUAUUAAAAAAAGAAGUUUGUUCAACUUUCAAUUUCCUACAUGAUCUGAGUUCAGACCGG
Molecule: ribosomal RNA, 437 nt
Filed under: Rhipicephalus turanicus
Lineage: Eukaryota; Metazoa; Arthropoda; Arachnida; Ixodida; Ixodidae
Description: partial 16S ribosomal RNA
Rfam family: Bacterial large subunit ribosomal RNA (bases 145-437)
Source: RNAcentral